GAUGCCAAGGAUGAAAAAGUCCAACGUCGUUCUUGCUUGCAAGAUAAGACGAUUGACCUUUUCAUCCGCUUAAACAUGAGGAAGAAGCAAUUUACGCAGUAAAUUUGCGUAUUCCGAAUGUUUACAGGAUUGCGAAAGCUGAUUUUCAGCGGAGCAAUCCGUGGCAUC
RNAcentral lists this small RNA (168 nucleotides) under Hominisplanchenecus faecis. RNAcentral's name for it is "Clostridiales-1 RNA". It matches the Rfam family "Clostridiales-1 RNA". Lineage: Bacteria; Bacillati; Bacillota; Clostridia; Lachnospirales; Lachnospiraceae. RNAcentral also lists the same sequence under 1 other name. The record is from RNAcentral.